Long non-coding RNA from Gymnodraco acuticeps, 648 nucleotides. RefSeq lists it as uncharacterized. The transcript has 3 exons. The record is from RefSeq and is a predicted model, not a curated record. NCBI's taxonomy places the organism in Eukaryota, Metazoa, Chordata, Actinopteri, Perciformes, Bathydraconidae.
UAUAUGUUUAGCUUAGGAUAUAUUGUGUUUUGGUGACGGCGUUGUACUUGUGCGAAACGUCUCACCAGUUCUGUCUUAAGUGUCCUGAUUCGUGACUGUGAUAUUCUGUGGCCUUCGUUUUUGUGUACUGUUGUGUAUAGACAGCUCAGAGCCUUUGAACAGCCUGCACGUUGUUUAUAUCACUCUAUGUUGAGGUUAAUAUUAAAAACAACCUCUUUACCAAGACCAUCUGGUUAUGUGUUGCUUCCCUUUUACCCCGAAACGAGCUGGGGACGUAACAUAACUAUACUAGCUAGCUAUGGCUUGAUGUUGUUAAAUGUAUGUUACUAACUAGCAAGUUGUUAACUGGAGCUUCAAUUUUGUAGGUCAACCAUUCCCAGAGGUCUGGAGAAACACCAUUUUAAAAACGUGGAUUGUAGCUAAAGAAGAUGGAGAGGUUGUUACAGCACACUGUAACUGUAUGGCUGGUUUGUCAGAAUCCUGCUCACAUGUUGGAGCAGUUCUGUUUGCAAUCGAAGCAGGUGUGAAGAUGAGAGAGACUGCAUCCUGCACCACUGAGAAGUGCAAGUGGCUAAUGCCAUCACAUGUCAAAAAGAUUCCUGCUGCUCCAGUUGCGAUGAUAGACUUUUCAUCCGCAAAAUCCAAAAA